Transfer RNA from Microscilla marina ATCC 23134, 84 nucleotides. It matches the Rfam family "tRNA". From Rfam's summary of the family: Transfer RNA (tRNA) molecules are approximately 80 nucleotides in length. Their secondary structure includes four short double-helical elements and three loops (D, anti-codon, and T loops). The record is from Rfam. NCBI's taxonomy places the organism in Bacteria, Pseudomonadati, Bacteroidota, Cytophagia, Cytophagales, Microscillaceae.
GACACAGUUGAGCAAUUGGUUGGCUCGCCUGACUGUAAAUCAGGUCUUAUGAUAAGCUUGCAGGUUCAAGUCCUGCCUGUGUCA